This is a long non-coding RNA of Syngnathus typhle (broad-nosed pipefish), 2516 nucleotides long. RefSeq lists it as uncharacterized. The transcript has 3 exons. The record is from RefSeq and is a predicted model, not a curated record. Lineage: Eukaryota; Metazoa; Chordata; Actinopteri; Syngnathiformes; Syngnathidae.
AGUCAGUCUGCAUGCGGGUCCUCUCGGCUCAUCUCGCGAGGUUUGACAACCGAAAUUUCGUCCGACAUCCGAAGCAAAAAAGUCUCAAAUUUUUUGUUCGUAUACCGAUUUGUUCGAGGACCGGGACGUUCGAAAACCGAGGCUCCACUGUAGUCUACAUUCCAACAUAAACAUACAAUCAAGAUAAUUUGUCAACCCUAACAACCCUCAUCAUGAAAAAUGCUAGAAGAAAUGCAUAAAAGCAACAACGAAAGAGCGACUUAGAAAGUGUGUGGCGAAGUAUAUCUGACACUAUUCCAAUUUUUUCCAAUCUCUGACUUUUACUGGUAUAUUUUUUUAACCAGCUUUGUUAGUGCUGUGCUACCGUGUUGCUGCUUUGUUACCACCGCGUCUCAGUGACUUUUACCGGUCUUUUGUUUUUUCCAGCCCGAUUAGUGAAGUGUUUCUUCCGUGUUUCUGCGGUAUUACUGCCGCGUCACAGGCAGUGUUUGGAAAGAAAUGUUAAGGUACUGUAAUGUCCUGUAUUAUUUGUUGUCGUAUCUGGGCGUGUGAGGGUGGGGCCAGGAGUGAGAAGUGACGUCAUGCGGGUGGGUUGUCCGGUCUGGUUAGCUUGGCAAUCAGUUAGUGUGUGAAGCGCAUGGGUGUGGGUUGUGGCCACCAGCAACUCCUGUUUGAAUGUAUUUUUCUGUUGCCUAUUUUUGUUAUAAUAAAAGCAGCGAUCAAACCGUCUGAACAUCCUUGACGCACUGCAGGGGCAUUACAAUUUCAUCCAAAUUAUGGCUGGUUUGCUAUCCAAUGAAGUUGGGCAUUUGGAUGAAGAAUCCAAGAAACGUUACCGAGAGAAGUUGAACCUUGUUGGCACAACGGAUCCGUACCUUUUACCAAGAAGCAUGCUAAAAUCACCUGAGCAUUUUGCAACAGCCGACCCGCCUGAUCUCUCAUAUUCCAGAUAUUUAUAAUUACCUCGUCGAUUCACCAUCUCCGUACACUGGAAAGGACCUUAAGGCAUACAAGAGUCUGGAUGCCUACAAGUAUUUUACAGCAGGUUUUGUGCAUGAUGGGCUGAUAUGGCAGAUUCCAAACAAGAAUCGAUUUCUUCUCAUGACCAAGGUAAAACACUCUCAACGGAUGAAUGAUCCUUCCCUCAGACCUUGGGUAGCAAUAGCGAAAGAUGGUCAGAUCCUGUGCUGCCACUGUACCUGCAUGGCUGGAUUGGGUGAAACAUGUUCACAUUCAGCAGCAUCCCUGUUCGCCCUGGAGACAUUAAUACGUAUGAAGACGGCCACUUCAUGCACAUCACUACCUUGUCAGUGGCUGAAACCAUCAGCAUCGCACAUAGAAUAUGCUGAAGGAUGCAAUAUCGAUUUUGCCCGUCCAGCCCAGAAACAAAAGUCAGAAGUUUCAACUCCUGAGGAAAGUGCUGCGAGAAAACUGAUGAAUGUUCCUCCACCAACUGAAGAGCAGAAAGCUGCCUUUUACAAGGCUUUGUCUGAAUGUGGUGGAAGACCAGCAAUUUUGAGCAUUGUCCCUGACUAUGCUGACAACUUUGUGCCAAGGGCAGUGUAGCAAAAGCUUCCUGUACCUCUCUUACAGCUGCACGAUUCUGGCAAUAUGAAACUCAGCCCAGAUGAACUUGCAGUAAAAUGCCGGUCAGAGCUGGAAAAGUUACAUUCCAUUACCAGAGAGCAGGUUUGUAUUUUUUUCGCACUUAGUAAUUAAUAUAUAUGUAAUAAAUAAUUUAUUGUUUUCCAACCUGUUACAAAUAAUCUAAUCAUAGUGACAUUUUUUUUAUUAAAAUGCGGUUCAAGAAGAGUCCAGGGGCCAAGCAACAUGAACAACUUGGUUUCAACAAAGAGCUGGGCGAAUUAGUUCAUCAAGUUCUGCACGCAGAUUUUUACACUCUGCAGUGAGGGAAUCCAUUGCUUCCCCAGUGAUAUCCGUCUGUGUGGCAGUAGUCACCAUGCCUUUUCGAAUCUUAGCGUGCACCACAUCUUCACCAGCGGGUAGUUGAUCAUUUUCACAAGGGACAGACUGGGAAAUAUUGACAAGUGCUGCUGCCAAUGCCCUCUUGCGCUGCUUGAGAUUUUGUCUUCUCUCAAAGGUUUUCAUUGAACAUUUGAGUUUUCGUUUGUGAGGUGACUGGGUAUGCUCAAAUAUACUUGGCACAUAGUCUGGGGAUAGUGGAUCUUCACUUUUUGCACCUGAAACAAUUAAACAAUCACAUUAUUUAUAAUGACUACCAUAAAUAAUUAAGCACGUUGUUGAAGGGGAUAUACCCAGUUCAAUUUGUUUCGUAAUGGCAUUUCAUAACUUGACAUAUUAAAAAACUGAAUAGAGUGAAAUCAUUCAGAUACUGUACCUGUCUGUUCAAGUUGCUACCAUUUUUAUUUUUUUGUUUAUUUUUGCAUGAUGCCUCAUCUGAUUAGCUUGAAAACCUAACCAAUACAAAUGUUAACCUUGUGCCAAUGGCUUGAAAACUUUACCAAUGUAGAUUUUACCUUGUGCCAAAUGAAGUA